This is a non-coding RNA of Misgurnus anguillicaudatus (oriental weatherfish), 3075 nucleotides long. The record is from RefSeq and is a predicted model, not a curated record. Lineage: Eukaryota; Metazoa; Chordata; Actinopteri; Cypriniformes; Cobitidae.
UAUUAACUAUUACAUGUUGAAUAAAUCCUGGUGAACAAUACAUUAAUUAAGACAUAUUUAAAAAAAAACUAUAAAUUAACUACAUAUUUACAGAUGCUGUAAAUUAAUUAUGAUGUGCGUGUGUGCGUGCGUGUGUGCGUGCUCGUGUAUGAGCUAUAUGAUCACAUUUUGAUCCUUUAUGUUAUCUACAUUGAUUCAUGAUUAAAUCAAAUCCAGAACGUAGAAUUAACGUAAGACUAGAAACGUAAGAAUUAACCCCAUCUUAAUUAUUUAAUUAUUAUCACUUGCUUUUAUGGUAAAUAGUUAAUAAAUCCAUGUUUGAUUUUGAACCCAUACGCUGUCACUUUAAGGAGGGGGAGGUGCAUGACGUCAAAACUAUGCGGAAGUCACUCAGACAGCAAGCGCGUGCUGCGGCUAGCUGUUGUGUGAUUAAUUGAACACAUCGAUUCAACAAGAAAUUUGAGUUAUCUUUUCACAAACUGCUAAAGCUACAGAGAAGAGAAACGGAGAAGAGAAGCAAAACAGGAAGAGAUUUUUCUGCGAUGCAAAGAAACAACCAAAGCCAGGCACAUGGAUUAACAGUUGCCAUUUUGUGUUAAAUAAGUAACGUUAACCUCUGUUCCUGUAUCUGGUACUAAUAAUUCUGACAACAUCUUCAUCCACCAAACUCAGAACCGCAUCUCUCAACAGUCUAAAUAGGUUCUCAGCUUCGGAGCACAUCGCCAGCAGAGACUCUGGUUUGAUGCCUCUCUUGAACUCCUGAGCAGCCUGGUGAACCAACGUUCCCUGGUUCUGAGAGAUGGUGGUGCCCAGUGCUUUAAGUGGCCCAGAAGAGGUGCCGGUACUAUUUUUUUUUUUUUUUUUUGCUGACUCCUAUAUUGAAGGGGUUUUAUUCAGCAGUCAACAGAAGACCUUGUAAAAAAUAAUAAAUCCUUUUAUAAGUUUGUGGAUUUGCUUGAGCUAGAAAUAGCUACUGAACAUAAAUAAAAUGUGCAAAAGGAUUUUGAAAAAAUACCAUUAGAAAUAGCUAUUGUAGAAAGAGCUUUUGAACAUAAAUAAAAUGUGCAAAAGGUAGAUAUGUGAGUAAAAUUUUCAGCAUGGUUAAAUGCUAAAAAUAGUUGUUCAGAUAGAAAGAGCUUGAAAAAAACUUUAAAAUGACAUGAAGACCAUGUCUAUGGGUUCAAGAAUAACAAAAUACUGGCCAUUUGAAACUCGAAAGUCAUUUAUUUUGUCCCAUUGUUUUCCAUUUUGCGGGUGGUAAAACUACUGUGCACGUCGUUCAAAUUCUCAUUCACUUGUAGUUUAGCAAUUAAACUAAAUGUAUAUUACAAUUUCAAGAAUGUUUUCUGCACAUCGCCCUUAGGAAAUCCGAAGAGGGGAACCAAACUGACAGCCGCGACAGCGGAGAUUAUCACGUACCUACAAACAGGUAUUGGAUAAAGUUUGCGUCUGACCUGCAGCUAUCAUUCUGGCUUGGUGGGAUGUCAGCCAGCAUGUCCUCUGAUACUGACCUUGUUCUUUUACUACUCAGAGUCUAAAACAAGGAGGGCAUAUUAAGUGUUCAUUGUAUUUUCAUUUUAACCGAGCAGCUAUGGUUGCGCGUUUCACACACAAACACACACACCUCUCCAGUCCAGAGCACGUUGACUGACCGACGCAUGCGCUUUUAACUUGUAAACACAAGGGUGUAUGGGUAAUGUAGUGUAAGGGUGGAUUCACUACAGUGGUUCACUCUGUAGGAACGCCGAAAUGACUGAGAAAUGUUAACAGCAAGAUAUUAUAAAACUGUGUAUUUCUGGUCAAUUAUCACCCUUCUGCAACAUAUACCAACGACGGAAAUAAGUGCAGUUAUAAUAGCAAAAUAUGUGGGAGAGCAUUGCUAGAAUAUAAAUAUAUUGAAUUGCAAUAUGUAGCGUUUAAAUAUUAACACUAAGGGGCAGUUUCCCGGACCAGGAUUAGCUUAAUCCAGGACUAGGUCUUAGUUUAAUUAGGAAAUAUAAGUAGUUUUAACAAACAUGCCUUACUAAAAACAUUACCUGUGUGCAUUUUGAGGUAAAACAAAGGGCCCUGAUGUAUUUGAAGAUAUGUAAGUGCAAGUUGUUUUCAGUUUGGAGAGCUCUUAAAAGUGUUUAAGUCUAGGACUAGUCUAAUCCCUGUCCGCGAAACCGCCCAUAAAUCAAAACUGAACAACAGAUUUGUAAAUGAAAAGGUUUAAUAACAGUACUGACUUAAAGUUACAAUUGAAAUGGUUACACGAUAAAUGCAUGAAAUGGUACUUAAUACAAACAAUUAACUGUUUCCAAUGUAUGUGAGAUAUUACCUGAUAAGAAAGAGAAAGAAAUAAAGUUUAGAAGAAAGAGAAUGACCAUUAAGAACUGUAGGUAACACUUUAGAAUACGGAUCCAUUAUUAAUGAAUAACUGCACAGGAACAAAUGAGUAAUUAAACAAUAUUAAUCUAGUAACUACUGUUAACUAACACAAAACUCUGAUUAACGAACUGGUAAGUAAUAGCACACAGAUGAAUGUGGUAGUUCACUAUUAACUUAUCAGUAACUACUAUUUUUUCAUACUUCCUAAAGAACUACUGAGAAGUUUCAUAAUUCACGCAAAACUAAACGAUAACUAAUAUAGGACAAAUGACUAACACAACAUUAACACAUUUACUACUGUAAACUAAUACACAAAACUGUUUAUAUUAUCAUUAUCAAUAGGUAAAAGCAGACUUGUUCUCAUUGAAUCAUUGAACGACUACUGGAACUUAUAGAUUCAUCAACCAUCCAAAUGCCUAUACAGUGAUUUUUUUUCUUACCUGUCAAAAAAUAUGUUUUAUGUAUGGCUUCAAGCUAAUAUGUGAAUAGUCUGUGAAUGGUUAAGAUUAUCCACUUUAAGAUUAGCUUUCCAUUAACUACUAUAUGAAUAACGGUAACCCGCUAGUAAUGACUCAAGUGUUACUACAUCAUUAAGUAAUUACUAUUUUUUGGGAUCAGUAUUCUAAAGUGAAGAUCAUGGUAACCCGCUAGUAAUGACUCAAGUGUUACUACAUCAUUCUAAAGUAAUUACAAAUUUUUGGGAUC